GGUGGGAUACAGCUCAGUGGUAGAGCACUUCCCUAGGAUGAGUGAGGCCAUGGGUUCAAUCGCCAGUACCACCC
This 74-nucleotide transfer RNA is filed under the name Marmota monax (woodchuck). Its description in RNAcentral is "tRNA.Pro". The record is from RNAcentral. Lineage: Eukaryota; Metazoa; Chordata; Mammalia; Rodentia; Sciuridae.